AUAAUGCUACUUCCGUCCAGCCACAGCCCUGCUAAAGCAGGACAGGCAAUGGGGGCGGCUCGCGGAGAUCCUGGGAGAGGUGAGAUUCCUAUGG
Molecule: regulatory RNA element, 94 nt
Organism: Desulfitobacterium hafniense Y51
Lineage: Bacteria; Bacillati; Bacillota; Clostridia; Eubacteriales; Desulfitobacteriaceae
Rfam family: pemK RNA
Source: Rfam